This 405-nucleotide ribosomal RNA is filed under the name uncultured bacterium. RNAcentral's name for it is "bacterial SSU rRNA". It matches the Rfam family "Bacterial small subunit ribosomal RNA", at positions 356 to 773 of the family's 1533-position model. The record is from RNAcentral.
GGGGAAUAUUGCACAAUGGGCGCAAGCCUGAUGCAGCAACGCCGCGUGGGGGAUGACGGCCUUCGGGUUGUAAACCUCUUUUAGUAGGGAAGAAGCGAAAGUGACGGUACCUGCAGAAAAAGCACCGGCUAACUACGUGCCAGCAGCCGCGGUAAUACGUAGGGUGCAAGCGUUGUCCGGAAUUAUUGGGCGUAAAGAGCUCGUAGGCGGUUUGUCGCGUCUGCUGUGAAAUCCUGAGGCUCAACCUUGGGCGUGCAGUGGGUACGGGCAGACUAGAGUGCGGUAGGGGAGAUUGGAAUUCCUGGUGUAGCGGUGGAAUGCGCAGAUAUCAGGAGGAACACCGAUGGCGAAGGCAGAUCUCUGGGCCGCUACUGACGCUGAGGAGCGAAAGCAUGGGGAGCGAAC